This 465-nucleotide ribosomal RNA is filed under the name uncultured bacterium. RNAcentral describes it as "partial 16S ribosomal RNA". It matches the Rfam family "Bacterial small subunit ribosomal RNA", at positions 338 to 795 of the family's 1533-position model. The record is from RNAcentral.
CCUACGGGGUGCUGCAGUAGGGAAUCUUCCACAAUGGGCGAAAGCCUGAUGGAGCAACGCCGCGUGGGUGAAGAAGGUCUUCGGAUCGUAAAACCCUGUUGUUAGAGAAGAAAGUGCGUGAGAGUAACUGUUCACGUUUCGAUGGUAUCUAACCAGAAAGCCACGGCUAACUACGGGCCAGCAGCCGCGGUAAUACGUAGGUGGCAAUCGUUAUCCGGAUUUAUUUGGCGUAACGGGAACGCAGGCGGGCUUUUAAGUCUGAUGUGAAAGCCUUCGGGUUAACCGGAGUAUUGCAUUGGAAACUGGGAGACUUGAGUGCAGAAGAGGAGAGUGGAACUCCAAGUGUAGCGGUGAAAUGCGUAGAUAUAUGGAAGAACACCAGUGGCGAAGGCGGCUCUCUGGUCUGUAACUGACGCUGAGGUUCGAAAGCGUGGGUAGCAAACAGGAUUAGAUACCCCUGUAGUC